GAUGAACGCUGGCGGCGUGCCUAAUACAUGCAAGUCGAGCGAACAGACGAGGAGCUUGCUCCUCUGACGUUAGCGGCGGACGGGUGAGUAACACGUGGAUAACCUACCUAUAAGACUGGGAUAACUUCGGGAAACCGGAGCUAAUACCGGAUAAUAUAUUGAACCGCAUGGUUCAAUAGUGAAAGACGGUUUUGCUGUCACUUAUAGACGGAUCCGCGCCGCAUUAGCUAGUUGGUAAGGUAACGGCUUACCAAGGCAACGAUGCGUAGCCGACCUGAGAGGGUGAUCGGCCACACUGGAACUGAGACACGGUCCAAACUCCUACGGGAGGCAGCAGUAGGGAAUCUUCCGCAAUGGGCGAAAGCUUGACGGAGCAACGCCGCGUGAGUGAUGAAGGUCUUCGGAUCGUAAAACUCUGUUAUUAGGGAAGAACAAAUGUGUAAGUAACUAUGCACGUCUUGACGGUACCUAAUCAGAAAGCCACGGCUAACUACGUG
Molecule: ribosomal RNA, 497 nt
Filed under: uncultured bacterium
Lineage: Bacteria
Description: partial 16S ribosomal RNA
Rfam family: Bacterial small subunit ribosomal RNA
Source: RNAcentral